AAUAUCGGUCACUGGAGGCAACUCUGAACCAGCGACGUCGCGUGAAGGAUGACGGCCCUUCGGGUUGUAAACUUCUUUUAUACAGGAAUAAAGUGAGUCGAGUGUGACUCUUUGCAUGUACUGUAUGAAUAAGGAUCGGCUAACUCCGUGGCAGCAGCCGCGGUAAUACGGCGGAUCCAAGCGUUAUCCGGAUUUAUUGGGUUUAAAGGGUGCGCAGGCGGAAGAUUAAGUCGUCGGUGAAAUUUUGCAGCUCAACUGUAAAAGUGCCAUCGAUACUGGUUUUCUUGAGUGUGGAUGAAGUAGGCGGAAUUUGUGGUGUAGCGGUGAAAUGCAUAGAUAUCACAAGGAACUCCGAUUGCGCAGUCAGCUUACUAGGCCAUAACUGACGCUCAGGCACGAAGGCGUGGGGAUCAAACAGG
RNAcentral lists this ribosomal RNA (419 nucleotides) under uncultured bacterium. Its description in RNAcentral is "partial 16S ribosomal RNA". It matches the Rfam family "Bacterial small subunit ribosomal RNA", at positions 360 to 776 of the family's 1533-position model. The record is from RNAcentral.